Contarinia nasturtii (swede midge) is the source of this 332-nucleotide long non-coding RNA. RefSeq lists it as uncharacterized. The transcript is spliced from 3 exons. The record is from RefSeq and is a predicted model, not a curated record. NCBI's taxonomy places the organism in Eukaryota, Metazoa, Arthropoda, Insecta, Diptera, Cecidomyiidae.
CGAACUUAAAAUGAAGGCUGUUACAGGAAUUGUUUUAAUCGCUUCAAUUGUUCUUUUGUCUCAUCAAACCAAUGGGGUUAAAACCAAUGGAGGACCUACACCCCAGGAGGCAAAGGCCAGUGUAUCCGAUACGAAUAUCAGAACGUUUGAAAAUUCAAGUGUAUUCGCUAUUUACCUAGGGGGAAACCGCGCUUUUGAAUAUUGCAGAUAAAGAAGAGAUUUUAACUUUUUUAGCGCAUUUGAAUAGAUAUAAGUACAAAAUGUCAAUUUUUAACAAAUAUGUGAGAUAUUGUGAGAUAUUGUGAUCUAAUAAUUGUUCUGGAAGUGGGCUU